UUACGGCCAUAUCACGUUGAAACACCGGUUUUCGUCCGAUCCCAGAAGCUAAGCAAGAUCGAGCCUGGUCGGUACCUAGAUGGGUGAGGGCUUUUUAAUAUAAAGGUGCUGUA
Acanthosepion pharaonis is the source of this 113-nucleotide non-coding RNA. Lineage: Eukaryota; Metazoa; Mollusca; Cephalopoda; Sepiida; Sepiidae. The record is from the annotation of a GenBank genome assembly.